AGACACCCGGCAGAUCACGUCAAAAACCUUGAACUAACAAGUAAAAACGCAGUGACCCCUAGCCCAUAUGUCUUUGGUUGGGGCGACCGCGGGGGAAAAUAAAGCCCCCAUGUGGACUGGGGGCACUGCCCCCACAGCCGAGAGCUACAGCUCUAAGCACCAGAAUUUCUGACCAAAAAUGAUCCGGCAAACGCCGAUCAACGGACCGAGUUACCCUAGGGAUAACAGCGCAAUCCUCUCCCAGAGUCCCUAUCGACGAGGGGGUUUACGACCUCGAUGUUGGAUCAGGACAUCCUAAUGGUGCAGCCGCUAUUAAG
Molecule: ribosomal RNA, 317 nt
Filed under: Oncorhynchus keta (chum salmon)
Lineage: Eukaryota; Metazoa; Chordata; Actinopteri; Salmoniformes; Salmonidae
Description: partial 16S ribosomal RNA
Rfam family: Bacterial large subunit ribosomal RNA
Source: RNAcentral